RNAcentral lists this ribosomal RNA (638 nucleotides) under uncultured bacterium. RNAcentral describes it as "bacterial SSU rRNA". It matches the Rfam family "Bacterial small subunit ribosomal RNA", at positions 91 to 729 of the family's 1533-position model. The record is from RNAcentral.
GCGACCGGCGCACGGGUGAGUAACGCGUAUGCAACCUGCCCGAUACCGGGGUAUAGCCCAUGGAAACGUGGAUUAACACCCCAUAGUACUUUUAUCCUGCCUGGGAUGGGAGUUAAAUGUUCAAGGUAUCGGAUGGGCAUGCGUCCUAUUAGUUAGUUGGCGGGGUAACAGCCCACCAAGACGAUGAUAGGUAGGGGUUCUGAGAGGAAGGUCCCCCACAUUGGAACUGAGACACGGUCCAAACUCCUACGGGAGGCAGCAGUGAGGAAUAUUGGUCAAUGGACGAGAGUCUGAACCAGCCAAGUCGCGUGAGGGAAGACUGCCCUAUGGGUUGUAAACCUCUUUUAUAAGGGAAGAAUAAGUUCUACGUGUAGAAUGAUGCCUGUACCUUAUGAAUAAGCAUCGGCUAACUCCGUGCCAGCAGCCGCGGUAAUACGGAGGAUGCGAGCGUUAUCCGGAUUUAUUGGGUUUAAAGGGUGCGUAGGCGGUUUAUUAAGUUAGUGGUUAAAUAUUUGAGCUAAACUCAAUUGUGCCAUUAAUACUGGUAAACUGGAGUACAGACGAGGUAGGCGGAAUAAGUUAAGUAGCGGUGAAAUGCAUAGAUAUAACUUAGAACUCCGAUAGCGAAGGCAGCUUAC